Molecule: transfer RNA, 79 nt
Filed under: Perca flavescens (yellow perch)
Lineage: Eukaryota; Metazoa; Chordata; Actinopteri; Perciformes; Percidae
Description: tRNA-OTHER
Source: RNAcentral
GCAAGAUGGCUCAGUGGUUAGAGCAGCUGUAAAUAACAGCUGUAGACUCUAACCCUUGGUUCAAACCCCAGUCUGGACU